GAUGAACGCUGGCGGCGUGCCUAAUACAUGCAAGUCGAGCGAACAGACGAGGAGCUUGCUCCUCUGACGUUAGCGGCGGACGGGUGAGUAACACGUGGAUAACCUACCUAUAAGACUGGGAUAACUUCGGGAAACCGGAGCUAAUACCGGAUAACAUGUUGAAACGCAGGGUUCAACAGUGAAAGACGGUCUUGCUGUCACUUAUAGAUGGAUCCGCGCCGCAUUAGCUAGUUGGUAAGGUAACGGCUUACCAAGACAACGAUGCGUAGCCGACCUGAGAGGAUGAUCGGCCACACUGGAACUGAGACACGGUCCAGACUCCUACGGGAGGCAGCAGUCGGGAAUCUUCCGCAAUGGGCGAAAGCCUGACGGAGCAACGCCGCGUGAGUGAAGAAGGUCUUCGGAUCGUAAAACUCUUUUACUAGUGAAGAACAAAUGUAUAAGUAACUCUGCACGUCUUGACGUUACCUAGUCAGAAAGCCACGGCUAACUACGUG
This 497-nucleotide ribosomal RNA is filed under the name uncultured bacterium. RNAcentral's name for it is "partial 16S ribosomal RNA". It matches the Rfam family "Bacterial small subunit ribosomal RNA", at positions 28 to 507 of the family's 1533-position model. The record is from RNAcentral.